AUGCAUACGAAGAUACCACAGUUUUAAAAAUAAAAAGAAUUCUUUUAUUGUUUCCUUUGUAGAACUGUGUAUUCGGUAUAGACGAUUCCUUGCGGUUAAUAGCUAUGCUUUCUUUCUCUGUGCUUAUACGCUCUCCUGCACAAUACCUGUACACUUUUCCUGGUUAUUAUGAAGUGAAACGAGUAUCUUUAAGCGAUUGCACUUGCAAUUCACUUUCUCGUGAGUAACGAUAAAGGAAGAUACACUGAUCCAUUGUAUGUGAGGAAAAACAGGAUGUAAGUAUUUAGUAUUUCAUGACACAUGAUAUUUUUAGUUCAUGUUAAAUGGAAUUCUCGAGACAUGUGUAUAACGAAUACCUGGAUAAGAUAUCUGUUGCAUAAGAAAUGAAGACAAAUCGUAUCAAAAACGCUUCAUGAUACAAGAUUGAAAAACUUCUUAUAUGAUUAACAAAAAAUAGAGAGUUCAUGCGUCUGUCCUAAUGUAGGAUUUAAAGGAUCAUGUAGAAAGUUCUUAAUCAUAUCUCUUAAAUAUAAAUAUUAUUUUGCAAUAGAAUUUGUCUGUCAGACUUUAGUUGAACAUAGUACUUAACGGAUCACCCGAUGUACUCGGUAACGUUGGAACGUGGGUCUUCAAAUAGAAUUUCUUGUCCGCGUUUUAAUACGCGUUCGUAUUCAAGUGACGUACAUCCUGACGACGUUUAUUUAUGCCGCGUUCUUCGAUCAGGAAGAACAAAAUACAUUGCUCUUAUCGUAUCGUUAAUUAUCAUGCUAAUAGAACGAAACAACUGUUUCGAGGUCAACGCACUUGAAGAGUGGCGGGCCUCUGGCAUGUCGCUUCAUAAUCCUGUAUUAAUAGAGUUUCAAGCAAAACGAAUCACGUGAGUAAACCUUCACUGAAUCCAAUAAAUCAGUGUUUGCUAUAAUAGUCGUUCCUCGGGCUUUUCCCACAUAUCGGCUUACAGCCUGCCAGUUGAUAGAAUCGAUUUCGCUACCAGUCCGUGCUUACUCCUCGGGAGAUACCGGAAAAAUCUUAAGGUUCAAAAGUCGAAAGCAAGGUCUCGUCUAAGGCGGUUCGUGAAGAAUUUUUAUCGGAGAAGUAUUGAGAUCACACGGCAUGUGAGACUAACAUGCCGUGCAUAUUCGAAUAAAUGCGUACGUUCAUUUGAGAGCGCUCUUACAAUUAGAUGAGCCUUUCAUCCCAAGUCAAUCAGGCAUAGUUCAACUGCCGGGGACCGAAGUCCUCAUCGGAAUAAGACUAGGGGCCAUCCGGCGAGAUAAAUUCAGUAAAUGUUAAUAUGUAAUAUACAAAUACUACAUUUGUUCGUACGAAAAAUGUUGAAAAAAUGAUUCAGGAAGACUAAAUUAUUAUAUUACGGGAUCCAUACUUCAUUGCCAUUUCCUCGAAAGAAAAGGAAAGGAGCAGUCUUUAUGACUACUGUAAAAGAUGAUAUUAAAGAAUUAAAUAGCACAUUGAUAUUCAAAAUUUCUAAACAAAGAUUUAUAAUCACGAUAUAACUAGUAAUAAACCAAUCGUAAGAGCAAAAUCCUAUUAAUUAGUUUUGAAUGGGGUUUGAGUUAGGUGAGAUCACCCUUAGUUUUAAAGGAUUUUACUCGCCGAUCACGUUCUCUCCCAAGAAUUGUCUAAAACGUUUUAUUAUCGCGGGAGGAUCGUGAGAGGAAACUAAUUAUAUUUUUCCCUGUAUCAGCAUACUAGUAACAAUUAUUCUCAAACAGGAUUUGCAAUUGAUUAACAAAUUUUUUUGAAAUGUUAUAACUUAUAUGUACAUGUACUUAUAUGCGUAUGUAUGAUCGCACUAUCAUUUACGAGAUCAAGAUCAGCAGAAUAUAAUGUUAUAAUAAGAUUUAAGAGCAUUAAGAAUGACUUAACGUAGCUACUAUUAGAAUAUAGAGAUUAGGUAUUACAAAAUGUUUAAUUGUGGUAGUAACAUCAGUGUAUAAUUAUAGUCUGACAUUGGGUCGACUCUACUUUUGACUUGUACAACUUUUCUAUGUAUAUCGCAGGAAUUAUUGACGUAAUUAACGAUUAUUGUGCAAUAGUGAUAUAAUUUUGCUCAAGUCACGAUUAAACUGAAAACAAUAUAAACUCGUAUUUCCCUUUGUAUUUAAAAUCACGAUUGUCAUUUGAUACGCGAAUUCCAAAUUAUACUCACGUUUUGGAACGUUUUAAAAUUUUGAAUAAGGCACAAAAGUUUUCUACGCGAGUACUUGAAUAAUUAUGUGAUUCAUCUCGCACGUAUACAUAUAUAUAUACAUAUGUAUAUUUAUGAAUAAGUCAAGGUAUACUUAUUCGCCACGUAUUCACGGAAUUUCGAGAAGUUUCAUUUUGUGGUAUGGUGAACAAGUUAAUCACGGGAAUAUUUCAACUCACAUGCGGAUGUAAAACAUGCUCAAGGACAAUGUACAUAUUGAGGAGAAAGAACAAUUCAGAUCGCAAUCUUCGAGGAAAAAGAAUCACCGAUGAAAUCCCCGUAGCAGCUGUACAUCACAGUUUGUAUGAUAGAAAUGUUUCGAAAUAUAUUUCACGAAUUUUUUAUUGCUUAGUUUAUAGUCACGAAUGUUUUUACAUAUAUGUAUCAGUUGAUUUCACAAAUACUGUGAAUAUUUUAAUAAACUAGAAAUAAAAUGUCGAUAUAAUUGAUAGGGGAUUCGAGAAAAAGAAUUAAUCAAAUGAACUGGUAAAGGGAGGAAGCAAAUUAACUCCUGUGAAAUUCAUCUGACACUUCUGAAAAUUGCACCUAUUCUUCGUAUUACUUAUGACACAAUUUAUAUUCUUAUUCAUCAUUUAAAAUAAUUUUGCAAUUAGGAUUUUCACAAUAUAGAUACUUUUCUUUAGACUACAUUCUGCAGUCUCAUUGUAGUUAGUUUCUCUUCAACAUUUGUGCCGUGUACUAUAUACCGUGUACCGUAUUAAAAGAUGUGUUUAAUCUUCAUUUGUCCAGUGAAAUUUCUCUUCUAUCUAUCCUCUAUCGUCGCAAACAAAAAUCGUAAGACCACAAGUGCCAAUCCGGAUAUUACACUUAACUUGAAAUCACUACAUAAUAUCGCGAUUAACGACGUGUCGUCGGGAUAAAGUAGAAUAUUCCUCAUUUUAAAUGUAGAAAACGUAUCGCGUGUAUAGUGUACUUAAAAUCUCUAAUGUAGGAGGGUACGCCGGAAUAAUAGGCACGAUGAACUAGAUUUAUGGCACGCACAAGGAGCACGCUGUAAAAUGGUACAAAAUGAAAACAGAAUGCGUGCUAAAAUUAAGUCGUAUGUAGGACUCGCCAAGUUUUAUUACAGGAGAUAAGUUGAUUGAUAAACAUAUUACAAUCCAUCACUGUACAAAGAAAAUUACGUUAAUGUGCAAACCUAUUUCCAACGAACUCAUUACUGGCCAUGUGUUCACUUAUUAAAUUAUUAUUACUACUGUAGCCCAUUAUGCGCAGCUUCUUCUUAGAAUACAACUAUAUUACUUAUUUGUUAAAGCAAAUUAUUAAAUUAUUAACUUCUUAUUUACAUUAAGUCAUCCCUAGAAAACUUGUGUUUCUUCAAGUACUAGCAUUAUGUAUCAGAUGACUUAAUGAAUAUAUUAAAACAUUUUUUAUGACAAGGAUACAAUUUUGAUAUUUUUCCAUGCAAAUGGCUCCAAUCAGUGUUGACAAUUCGAUCCAAUAACAUAGUUCACCGUUAACCAAAGUUCAGUGUGUUCGAUCUCUUAUUAGAGAAAUGUUUUGGUGUCUUUUGUUCCCGUUACCUACAUUUUUUAACUGGGCGGGCCUAAAAAGAAUCGGAUGGGACCACGAAAAGAAAUAUCGGUCAGUAGGAUAACGGAACGCGUUGUCUGUUUUACGCACGUCGUCCGCGCGUAUAUUACACGAACUUCUAAGCAAACGAGUAACAGUUGGGCAUAUCGUAAAAUAGGAGAAAAAAUCGAAGUAAAAAAGAGGUGCGGUAUCUGACAUGAAGGAAGAAAAGAGGAAACGGUUACAAAGGGGAAAUUUACAAAGCAGUGAGCGGUUAAGCAAAUGAAUCAGAAAAGUGAGCCAGUUGGUCUCGCCUCCUAUUCCCUUUUCCCCGCCUCUUUUCGAAACACCGAUGACGUUUCGUCCAUUCACCGGUUGUGUAGUUGUGGGCCCCAAUGUCACUGAUUAUUCGUUUAACGGGACCCAUAUGUUCACGGUGGUGGUGAACGAUCAUCUCUCCGAAGACUAGGCGCUAGUUAGGGGUUCUGGGCUUCAGUCAGUACAUUGUCGCGCGCGAGCACUAUCUAGUUCCGUCUGUCGAUUCAGUUACAGCGUUUCGAAAAUAUCGGCUAUUUCAAUAGGAUCAAACGGUAUCAUUGCUAUUUGCACGAGGAUUUUUUCAACGCAAUUGGACAUUGUCAGUUGUACAUUGCAUUGUCGUGUGUGAAGUUUCCAUUUUUAAAUGAAUUAAUCUACUUGAUCCAAUCCGCACUUUAGUAUAUCUAUUAAGUUGAUACUAAAAAUUGUUACACGAUACGGCUAAACCAAUUUGUAUCAACUCUUUGACACGGAUCGAAUCGAUCUCUUUUUUAGCAUAAAUCGUGAAGGAUACACGAGUCGAUUUCUGCAAACCAAUUUUCGACGGUGUAAUUUUCGAUUCUCCGGUAUAUUUGCACCGGGACGUGUCGCAACCGUGAGACUUGGCUUCUCUGCAAACCCGUUCUCAUUAGAGUCGUGCAACCACCACGUGGUCCCAACCGACUGUCAACACUUUAUGUACAUUGUACGAAAGUCUGCUGCGACAAUGAUACUUGUGGGCAGUUCUUUUUUUAUUUUAUUGCGUUAAAUUACUUAUACAAGAAGGCGUUCUAUAUAAAAAACUAAGUAUUUGUCAAGUGCAAUAAAUAUGAGAUAAAUGUAAUAGAUCGACUGCUAUAAUGUCAUAAAGAGAGAAACGGAGACUUAAGAGUUUAAAAAGUUAAUUAUUCAACACCACCAGGAAUGUGGACAAAUAAUUUUCACGUUGUUUUUCAUUUCGAAUAUUAUACAUAUAAGAAUUAAGAAUUUUAAACGAGAGAUUUGCUUGGUAACGAAGUCCGAGACUGGACACAAAGAACCGGCGUGAAAAGAAAAAUUGACGAAAUCGAAUUUUUGAAAAGCACAAAGAACCGAAUGGUUAGGAGUAGAGGACGAAACUAAACCAGUCGGGCAAGAACGCGUGCAAGUAUUUACAAUACUUAAAAAAGAACCAAUUUUUGAGAAGAGGCGAACGUAUCGUGCUGAGUAUUCGACGCGAGUACGUAAAAAGAAGAGUCGACGCAUUUUGCAUAUUAUUCAUCGAAGGAAGAAUAUCGUGAUUCGCGGCAGUUUAUCGAAAGCGCGACAUUAGAUUAAGAUUCACGAUUAAUUAACGAAUCAUUCAAAUUGACGCAAGUGCCGUUGUCGGCUAUUAGAAAACUGCUUCGCUCAUUAAUUUGUUCAGAAACAAGUUUCGUUUAAACGGUUCAACACGGGGUCCAUACUGUCAAGCGUAAGUUAGUAAAUUGCAAUAAAAAAUGAUUUUAGGCGAAUUGAUUUUUGAAAAUGAGAGAAAUAUAAGAACUAAACGUUUCUGGCAUAUCACCAAUGUAACAGUAAAGCAGGAUGUUAUACGUGACGAGCAAAUGAAGCGAAGUUUCAAGAACGUAACGUGAAUUUUCAUUUCUUUCAAGGCUUGUAACUUCUUUG
This is a long non-coding RNA of Ceratina calcarata, 5689 nucleotides long. RefSeq lists it as uncharacterized. The transcript has 3 exons. The record is from RefSeq and is a predicted model, not a curated record. NCBI's taxonomy places the organism in Eukaryota, Metazoa, Arthropoda, Insecta, Hymenoptera, Apidae.